CUCAUCUCUUUUUGAACAGCGCGCGAGACUGCAGCUGGUGAGUGCGCGAGAGUGGGAGAUUUUUGCUAGAUGCGUAUAAUUCGAGUACGCACCGCAUGGUGGUGUCAUGAUCGAAUUCAGCACGCCUUUUUAACACGGCAUCGGCAAUCUCUCUACUAAUCUCUGGUUGCGUACGGCCGCCCCUACUUCUCCUCCGCUGCUUCUAGAUGCGUAUAGUUCGGAGCGAAAACCGCAGGGCGGCGCUAGCUUACGACUGCAUAUCGCACGGCACGCUUUCGCCCAUGCUCAUCGGCAAUCUCUCCUCUAAUCUCUGGUUGCAGGGAUGGCAACCGGAAGUGCAGAAAGUUGCACCGAAUGGCUAACUUUAGACCACGGCGCGUAGAAAAUAAAUUUCUAUAGUCCGUAGCGCGAGAGUCGCUCUUCUGCAGUGCGUUCUGCUAGGCGCAUGUAAACAGCUGUGCAUAAAUCCUCGCAGUGUACGCGUACUUGUUGCUCAAACCCCUUCCCGUGCUGCUAAUAGUUGUAAUAGUGUAGUGUUGUAAAAUGUGCGAACAAAAGCAGGGAUUCCAGCAGUUGUGGGUGUACGGGAGAUGCUGCUGUUUUGUGAAUUGUCAAGUUGUAAAAUGUGUGCUGCAGCAGUCGAGCUCAUUGCUUCAGAUGUUCUGGACCAUCGCUGUACUUAUUCUCUUGUACAGAAGCUAUUGCACACUUGAACAAAACUGGCGAGUGAACAGUCUGCCUUUCACACACAGCUCCAAAAUCAAGAUGUUAGGUUAGGAUGCAUUUAAUAUUUGCAACGGUUGAGGUGAUGACUGAGAAGAGUUUAUCGAUUAUGUUGUGACUGCCAAAGUUUCAUUAGACGCUGGUGCAACCUGAUGCCAUACCUGGUGUCACAGAGACUUCAUGCGAGACCAGAAUCCAGAAAAAAACAACGUUGGAUUAGUCAUUCAUCAGCCAAGCUCAUGUAUGCACCUACCCUAUCUGACUCUGUUAAAAAAAUUUUGUCUGGAAAUCCAAUUAUUAUACGCAUAAAAUGGUUCACCACUGCCUUAAAUCGCUCAUUAAUGAGAUGGGGCAUGAGUUCAAAAUUCUGGUCACUGUGGUACAAUGUAGAGGUCUCAACAAUUCUACUGUUUCCAAUAUCGAUAGUAGUCAUUUUAAAAGUGACACUUAACAUUUGACUGUACAAUUCAGCAUCGCCAAAUGAAAAGAAAGAACAAGUAUUGGAACUUAUGGUUCCAGGAGUUGACAUUCCUUACAAUGAAAUGGGAUACUACGUGCUCUCAUUAAUAUUAUGCAGUGCUGUGCAUGAGAUGGGACGUGCUAUGGCAGCAGUUAG
This is a long non-coding RNA of Nasonia vitripennis (jewel wasp), 1339 nucleotides long. RefSeq lists it as uncharacterized. The transcript has 3 exons. NCBI's taxonomy places the organism in Eukaryota, Metazoa, Arthropoda, Insecta, Hymenoptera, Pteromalidae. The record is from RefSeq and is a predicted model, not a curated record.